ACCUUGCACUAGGCCCCAUCAUUAAGACCUUGGAAUCAUGUUGGGAGAAAGAGCCACUUCCUGACUAUUUGUACUAAGAGUGGCCUUUAAUAAACACUACAGCAGCCCUUCUUAAACUCUGCAGUGCAGACCAGUCACUGGAUGAUCUGUCUGGACUGGCAGAGCUUUUAUGAGCGUGUUGCAGAGAUGGUAAUAGAGAAGCAGGAUGGAAAUUGAACAAGCGCAUAAAUACAGAAGAAUCACACACACGCUGUAUGUACAGUUCUAUAAUUA
This 273-nucleotide long non-coding RNA is filed under the name Fukomys damarensis (Damara mole-rat). Its description in RNAcentral is "lncRNA (ENSFDAG00000028977.1)". Lineage: Eukaryota; Metazoa; Chordata; Mammalia; Rodentia; Bathyergidae. The record is from RNAcentral.